Molecule: ribosomal RNA, 305 nt
Filed under: uncultured bacterium
Lineage: Bacteria
Description: bacterial SSU rRNA
Rfam family: Bacterial small subunit ribosomal RNA
Source: RNAcentral
CCCUACGGGACGCAGCAGUGAGGAAUAUUGGUCAAUGGGCGGGAGCCUGAACCAGCCAAGUCGCGUGAGGGAAGACGGUCCUAUGGAUUGUAAACCUUUUUAGGCGGGGAGCAAUGCCGGGCACGUGUGCCCGGAGGGAGAGUACCCGCAGAAUAAGCAUCGGCUAACUCCGUGCCAGCAGCCGCGGUAAUACGGAGGAUGCGAGCGUUAUCCGGAUUUAUUGGGUUUAAAGGGUGCGUAGGCGGAUUUUUAAGUCAGCGGUAAAAUGUCCGGGCUCAACCCUGGCCGGCCGUUUAAACUGGGGG